RNAcentral lists this non-coding RNA (27 nucleotides) under Cricetulus griseus (Chinese hamster). The record is from RNAcentral. Lineage: Eukaryota; Metazoa; Chordata; Mammalia; Rodentia; Cricetidae.
UUUCCCUAACUUUGAAUUGUUCCGCAG